CCUACGGGAGGCUGCAGUAGGGAAUAUUGCUCAAUGGCGGAAACCCUGAAGCAGCAACGCCGCGUGGAGGAUGACGGUUUUAGGAUUGUAAACUCCUUUUGUUAGAGAAGAUUAUGACGGUAUCCAACGAAUCAGCACCGGAUCACUCCGUGCCAGCAGCCGCGGGAAUACGGAGGGUGCAAGCGUUACUCGGAAUCACUGGGCGUAAAGCGUGCGUAGGCGGGGUAAUAGGUGAGCCGUGAAAUCCUGUAGCUUAACUACAGAACUGCAGUUGAAACUGUUACUCUGGAGUGUGGGAGAGGUAGGUGGAAUUCUUGGUGUAGGGGUAAAAUGCGUAGAGAUCAAGAGGAAUACUCAUUGCGAAGGCGACCUGCUGGAA
This 379-nucleotide ribosomal RNA is filed under the name uncultured bacterium. RNAcentral's name for it is "partial 16S ribosomal RNA". It matches the Rfam family "Bacterial small subunit ribosomal RNA", at positions 338 to 734 of the family's 1533-position model. The record is from RNAcentral.